GCCACCGUAGCUCAAUCGGCAGAGCACCGCUUUCGUAAAGCGGGGGUUAAGAGUUCGACUCUCUUCGGUGGCU
RNAcentral lists this transfer RNA (73 nucleotides) under Planctomycetota bacterium. RNAcentral's name for it is "tRNA-Thr". It matches the Rfam family "tRNA". From Rfam's summary of the family: Transfer RNA (tRNA) molecules are approximately 80 nucleotides in length. Their secondary structure includes four short double-helical elements and three loops (D, anti-codon, and T loops). The record is from RNAcentral. RNAcentral also lists the same sequence under 6 other names. Lineage: Bacteria; Pseudomonadati; Planctomycetota.